AGUAAUGUAUGGGGAUCUGCCUGAUGGCGGGGGAUAACUACUGGAAACGGUAGCUAAUACCGCAUAAUGUCUACGGACCAAAGCGGGGGACCUCCGGGCCUCGCGCCAUCAGAUGAACCCAUAUGGGAUUAGCUAGUAGGUGGGGUAAUGGCUCACCUAGGCGACGAUCCCUAGCUGGUCUGAGAGGAUGACCAGCCACACUGGAACUGAGACACGGUCCAG
RNAcentral lists this ribosomal RNA (222 nucleotides) under uncultured bacterium. RNAcentral describes it as "partial 16S ribosomal RNA". It matches the Rfam family "Bacterial small subunit ribosomal RNA", at positions 109 to 334 of the family's 1533-position model. The record is from RNAcentral.